UUUGAUGGCGACCGGCGCACGGGUGAGUAACACGUAUCCAACCUGCCGAUGACUCGGGGAUAGCCUUUCGAAAGAAAGAUUAAUACCCGAUGGCAUAGUUCUUCCGCAUGGUGGAACUAUUAAAGAAUUUCGGUCAUCGAUGGGGAUGCGUUCCAUUAGCUUGUUGGCGGGGUAACGGCCCACCAAGGCAUCGAUGGAUAGGGGUUCUGAGAGGAAGGUCCCCCACAUUGGAACUGAGACACGGUCCAAACUCCUACGGGAGGCAGCAG
RNAcentral lists this ribosomal RNA (269 nucleotides) under uncultured bacterium. RNAcentral describes it as "partial 16S ribosomal RNA". It matches the Rfam family "Bacterial small subunit ribosomal RNA", at positions 84 to 354 of the family's 1533-position model. The record is from RNAcentral.